UAGAGCUCUCUCAGAACAGUCAUUCGGCUACUCAUGCAUCCUCUUCAGGUAUGGAUGCUUACAUAGCUUCUCCUCAUGAACCAUGGGUACUAGAUUCUGGAGCCUCAUCCCAUAUGACAGGACCUAGCAACUGGGAUGACGAUUGGUUCGGGGCAUGAGAGAGGAGGUAUGUACUAUUUGGACGACAGUGUGCCGGGUGAUGGUUUUGUUGCAGCACAGCCUGAUUCUACCUUACUGUCGCACUGGCGUCUGGGUCAUCCUUCACUAUAGAAACUUAGAUCGGUAGUUACUGUUCAGUCUUCCCUUUCUUCUUUAGGUUGUGAGUCAUGUGAACUGGGUAAGCACCAUCGUGCUUCUUUUCAGAGUCGUGUCGAUAAGCGCAGUAGUUUUGUGUUUGAGUUAGUUCAUUCUGAUGUCUGGGGUCCUUGUCGUGUUCCCUCUGUGAAGGGUUUUUGAUAUUUCAUUGUUUUUGUUGAUGAUUUCUCUCGCAUGACUUGGCUAUAUUUGUUGAAAGAGAGGUCUGAAGUCCCGCAUGUUAUUGAACUUUUUUAUAAUGAAAUAAAAACCCAGUUCUUUAAUUCUGUUUA
Asparagus officinalis (garden asparagus) is the source of this 587-nucleotide long non-coding RNA. RefSeq lists it as uncharacterized. The transcript is spliced from 2 exons. Lineage: Eukaryota; Viridiplantae; Streptophyta; Magnoliopsida; Asparagales; Asparagaceae. The record is from RefSeq and is a predicted model, not a curated record.